This 498-nucleotide ribosomal RNA is filed under the name uncultured bacterium. RNAcentral describes it as "bacterial SSU rRNA". It matches the Rfam family "Bacterial small subunit ribosomal RNA", at positions 66 to 543 of the family's 1533-position model. The record is from RNAcentral.
ACGCGAAAGCCCCCUUCGGGGGGCAAGUAGAGUGGCGCACGGGUGAGUAACACGUAGGUAAUCUACCUUUGGAUGGGGAAUAACAACCGGAAACGGUUGCUAAUACCGCAUAAUGCAGCGGCACCUAAUGGUGACAGUUGUUAAAGCGGGGGAUCGCAAGACCUCGCGUCUGAAGAGGAGCCUGCGGCGGAUUAGCUAGUUGGUAGGGUAACGGCUUACCAAGGCGAUGAUCCGUAGCCGGCCUGAGAGGGCGGUCGGCCACACUGACACUGACAUACGGGUCAGACUCCUACGGGAGGCAGCAGUCGGGAAUUUUGGGCAAUGGGCGAAAGCCUGACCCAGCAACGCCGCGUGAAGGAUGAAAUCCUUCGGGAUGUAAACUUCGCAAGAACGGGAAGAAUAAGUCUGCGCAAAUAUCGCAGAUGAUGACGGUACCGUUUGUAAGCUCCGGCUAACUCCGUGCCAGCAGCCGCGGUAAUACGGGGGGAGCAAGCGUUG